Molecule: small nuclear RNA, 109 nt
Organism: Pteronotus mesoamericanus
Lineage: Eukaryota; Metazoa; Chordata; Mammalia; Chiroptera; Mormoopidae
Source: RefSeq, a predicted model, not a curated record
GUGCUCACCACAGCAGCACAUAUACUAAGACGACAAUAAUACAAAGAAAGAUUACCAUGACCCCUGUUCAAGGAUGACACACAAACCAUCAAGCAUUCGAUAUGGUUUU